UGGUGAGUAGAGUGGCGUACGGGUGAGUAACACGUGGGUGAUCUACCCUCUGGUGUGGAAUAACCCUGGGAAACCGGGGCUAAUACCGCAUAAGUCCGCGAGGAGAAAGUCGCAAGACGCCGGAGGAGGAGCCCGCGGCCGAUUAGCUAGUUGGCGGGGUAACGGCCCACCAAGGCUAUGAUCGGUAGCCGGCCUGAGAGGGCACACGGCCACACUGGCACUGAAACACGGGCCAGACUCCUACGGAAGGCAGCAGUGGGGAAUCUUGCACAAUGGGGGCAACCCUGAUGCAGCGACGCCGCGUGAGCGAUGAAGCCCUUCGGGGUGUAAAGCUCUUUCGGCAGGAACGAUAAUGACGGUACCUGCAAAAGAAGCUGCGGCUAACUACGUGCCAGCAGCCGCGGUAAUACGUAGGCAGCAAGCGUUGUUCGGAGUUACUGGGCGUAAAGAGUGCGUAGGCGGUCCUUUAAGUUCGGUGUGAAAUCUCCCGGCUCAACUGGGAGGGUGCGCCGGAAACUGGAGGGCUCGAGUAUGGGAGAGGAAAGCGGAAUUCCUGGUGUAGCGGUGAAGUGCGUAGAUAUCAGGAGGAACACCUGCGGUGUAGACGGCUUUCUGGACCAUGACUGACGCUGAGGCACGAAAGCGUGGGGAGCAAACAGGAUUAGAUACCCUGGUAGUCCACGCCCUAAACGAU
Molecule: ribosomal RNA, 694 nt
Filed under: uncultured Acidobacteriota bacterium
Lineage: Bacteria; Pseudomonadati; Acidobacteriota
Description: bacterial SSU rRNA
Rfam family: Bacterial small subunit ribosomal RNA
Source: RNAcentral